Molecule: transfer RNA, 74 nt
Filed under: Actinomycetota bacterium
Lineage: Bacteria; Bacillati; Actinomycetota
Description: tRNA-Met
Rfam family: tRNA
About the family: Transfer RNA (tRNA) molecules are approximately 80 nucleotides in length. Their secondary structure includes four short double-helical elements and three loops (D, anti-codon, and T loops).
Source: RNAcentral
GCCGGAGUAGCUCAGUCGGUUAGAGCAGCGGAAUCAUAAUCAGCGUGUCGGGGGUUCGAGUCCCUCCUCCGGCA